UCAUAUGUAUAAAACAAGUAUCCUAUACUAGUGUGCCUUCCUUCCUCAGGUGUGGGGCUCCAUCGCUAUGCAUUUCGAUUUUGAUUUUAAAUCUAACACAUCUGAAAAUAACAGUAAUGAAUAUCAAUAGUCUUAGUAAGAAAAUGUAGAACUUAAGACUACAAUAUGAAAAAUAAGAAAUUUUUCACCCCAACACUCCUCACUUAGACCCUCACUCCCACCUAUCCGCUCUCCCAUCUCUACCAUAAGAUGACCAUUUCCCCAAAGCUUCGCUACCUAUAGUCACUCAAUUGCACUAACUACUUACUCCUACUAACACCGAAAUACGCCUACCACACCCGUAGCUACAGUCCUGAAGGCCUACAUACACUCAUAGUUCACUUAUGUCCACUACUCAACCUCAGUAUCGGAACCAAUCAAUCUUUACUGACCACACAUCCAUACCUUCCACUUUUCUAGCCUAGAGAGGCCACCCACACACAUCACUCAUUCGGUUAUCCCUUAAUAGCCCUGGGGCAAUGGCCUGUAAAUACCCCAUCUACACACCUGAGUCCAUACCAACACCGGCAAAUGCUCGACCUAGAAAUGCUACACCCACACAUUCACCCAACUAACUUUCCAUGUCUAACCUGGGACAAAGGCUUGUGAAGACCACACAUACCAACAUUCUAGUCCACAUAUACGACUUCCUCUUACACAACUCUCGGCUAGUGAAGGCCCUCUACUUAUUCAUCACCCACUUGUCACCACAACUAUAGAGGCCACACACAUUCACACACGCACCAUAUCACAUAAAUUCACCUAUUCAGUCCCUAUCAUGCUUUGUCACUCUCUGCCCUACACACACACCAGAUGCCACCCUGAAAUGCUCACUUACACUGUCACACUCUGCCUGUAAUGACCACACGCGCCCGCUGACUGUGUCAUGCUCUUUUAGAGCCAUACACAUACUCACACAUAAAACCAAAUCACAUAAAUUCAACUACUCAGUUACAUACAAUUCUCGGCCAAUGUCUGCCACACACGCACAUACUAGACGCCCUAAGCCACUCGCUCACACAGUCGCACUCGACUUAUAAUGGUCACACAUGCACACCGACCGCGCCACAACUCCUUAUUCGCUAUAUAACACUCAAUCCGUCUCUUCUACUCAGAUCCUGUGAUUUUGCCCUAGCCUACACAACUUCCGCUCAACCUAUACUCUCACCCGACCACUUAUACUCUAUCCACAUAAAACCUCCUCAUAAUAGAGAUUACUACAUCCACACUUGACUUAAUAACCUCAUCCACAUCUCUCUGCCCUCAGUUCGGAUCACCUCAUUCAAUCGAUUAUGGGAAAAGGAAAAAAAUAGAAAUAGAAUUGAUCUUGCUUUGCCAUACCGAGUCANNNNNNNNNNNNNNNNNNNNNNNNNNNNNNNNNNNAAAAAAAUUGGAUAAUCAUAUAACAAUAACAUCUCACGUGAAAAAUAUUUUCAUAAUCAUUAAUAAUUAACUCAAUUUUUAUGAAACUUUUACAUGCCAUUUUAUGUAGCAUAUAUGAUAAUUUAUUCCAAUAGACCAUUAGAAUAACAAAUUUCCUCUUUUAAAUAUAUGAAAAUGUAUAAAAUAAUAUCUAUCCUUCUAUAUGUGACUAUCAUACCAUCAAUGAGAUUCGAAUGGUUGUUAUAAUAAUAUAUAGAGUAUAUAUUAAUUAUUUCAAUUAAAUAUAGUCUAGUUUUAUAAUACAUAAAUUAAAAUAGUAUUGAUUACAAUUAUAGUAAAUAAAUAAAAAAUACUAUAUACGAAUGUUUAUGCUUAAUUAUAAGUUUAAAUAUAUAUUUAUCAUAAAAAAUAUAAUAUGAGUUAACAUAUUAUUAAUUGAGAUAAUUUUCCAUAAUGAUUAAUAAAAUUAAUAAAAUAUACUAUAAAUUGAUGUUGAACUAUGAUUUUGAAUACAUAAAUUAAAAAAUAAUUAUGAAAAAAAUUAAUGUUUUGUUCUAGACGUAAAUGAUUGAAUUAAAUAUCACAUGUUGUUAAUAUAUUUAUAAUAAUUAGAUAACAUUACUAAGAUAUACAGUUAAAAUGAAUAAAUUAAAAACAAUUAAAUUAAUUUUAUAUGAAAUAUAUAUACGUAAACAAUAUCCCAAAAUGCACACGGUUUUUUCUUAAUUUUUUAAAGAUAAAUUGUUUAUUUAUUAUAACAUAUAUUAUAAAAAUUAAAUAUUAUUUACAUACAUUUGUAAAUAUAAAAAUAAAAGUAAUAAAAUAAUUUAUAUAUUAAAAUAUAUAAAAUAAAAACUAAUUUAUAAUUGAUUACCAAUUAUUCAUUAUACGAUUCUAAAUAUAAAAAAAUUGUCUAUACAGCAGUUAUCUAUUCAAAAUUUUUAAAUAUAGAAUUAAAAAUUUAUAUAUUAUAUAAUUAAUUUUUAAAAAUUAUGAUUCGUGUGCACCGUAGAACAAAAAUUGGCUUAUAAUUUUGAAAAUAAAUAAUAUUUCAUUAUAAUUUUUAAAAAUAAUUAACAUGUAAUGAUAAUAUAGUAGUGUAUAUAUGAAAA
Molecule: long non-coding RNA, 2534 nt
Filed under: Carica papaya (papaya)
Lineage: Eukaryota; Viridiplantae; Streptophyta; Magnoliopsida; Brassicales; Caricaceae
Description: long non-coding RNA (CPAP_LNC011686)
Source: RNAcentral